This 305-nucleotide ribosomal RNA is filed under the name uncultured bacterium. RNAcentral describes it as "bacterial SSU rRNA". It matches the Rfam family "Bacterial small subunit ribosomal RNA", at positions 337 to 634 of the family's 1533-position model. The record is from RNAcentral.
GCCUACGGGGCGCAGCAGUAGGGAAUCUUCCACAAUGGGCGAAAGCCUGAUGGAGCAACGCCGCGUGGGUGAAGAAGGUCUUCGGAUCGUAAAACCCUGUUGUUAGAGAAGAAAGUGCGUGAGAGUAACUGUUCACGUCUCGACGGUAUCUAACCAGAAAGCCACGGCUAGCUACGUGCCAGCAGCCGCGGUAAUACGUAGGUGGCAAGCGUUAUCCGGAUUUAUUGGGCGUAAAGGGAACGCAGGCGGUCUUUUAAGUCUGAUGUGAAAGCCUUCGGCCUAACCGGAGUAGUGCAUUGGAAACC